CUUAAAUGAAUUGACGGGGGCCCGCACAAGCGGUGGAGCAUGUGGUUUAAUUCGAUGCAACGCGAAGAACCUUACCUACUCUUGACAUCCAGAGAACUUAGCAGAGAUGCUUUGGUGCCUUCGGGAACUCUGAGACAGGUGCUGCAUGGCUGUCGUCAGCUCGUGUUGUGAAAUGUUGGGUUAAGUCCCGUAACGAGCGCAACCCUUGUCCUUAGUUACCAGCACGUUAUGGUGGGCACUCUAAGGAGACUGCCGGUGACAAACCGGAGGAAGGUGGGGAUGACGUCAAGUCAUCAUGGCCCUUACGGCCAGGGCUACACACGUGCUACAAUGGUCGGUACAAAGGGUUGCCAAGCCGCGAGGUGGAGCUAAUCCCAUAAAACCGAUCGUAGUCCGGAUCGCAGUCUGCAACUCGACUGCGUGAAGUCGGAAUCGCUAGUAAUCGUGAAUCAGAAUGUCACGGUGAAUACGUUCCCGGGCCUUGUACACACCGCCCGUCACACCAUGGGAGUGGGUUGCUCCAGAAGUAGCUAGUCUAACCGCAAGGGGGACGGUUACCACGGAGUGAUUCAUGACUGGGGUGAAGUCGUAACAAGGUAG
RNAcentral lists this ribosomal RNA (600 nucleotides) under uncultured bacterium. Its description in RNAcentral is "bacterial SSU rRNA". It matches the Rfam family "Bacterial small subunit ribosomal RNA", at positions 900 to 1499 of the family's 1533-position model. The record is from RNAcentral.